Molecule: long non-coding RNA, 393 nt
Organism: Octopus bimaculoides (California two-spot octopus)
Lineage: Eukaryota; Metazoa; Mollusca; Cephalopoda; Octopoda; Octopodidae
Source: RefSeq, a predicted model, not a curated record
UUGUUAAAAAGCAAUGACGUAACAAUCGUUAAUGAUGAACUAAUGCAUCUUUGAAGUGGCUUUUAUUGAUGUCAGGAAAAAAUGAGAAACCGGAUCUAUGUUAAAUAUUUAUUUUGUACGUCGCUGUAGAGGCGCAAUGGCCCAGUGGUUAGAGCAGCGGAUUCGCGGUCAUAGGGUCGCGGUUUCGACCCCUAGAUCUGACGUUGUGAGUGUUUAUUGAGCGAAAAUAGCCAAAGUUCCACGAGAUUCCGACAGGAGGUGGAGAAAUGACAAAUGCUGCCGACACCAGAAUCUCAUAAGAGAAAUAAAAACUAUCGAUAUUUGAAGAAGAAGAAGAAGAAAAAAUAUGAAUAAAUUUUGCUAAAAAUGGUCCACAUUAAAAAAUAUUUAAUA